UGGGUGACCUGCCCUCAGCUCUGGGAUAAGCCCGGGAAACUGGGUCUAAUACCGGAUAUGACCUCUCAUCGCAUGGUGGGUGGUGGAAAGUCUCUUCGGCUGGGGAUGGGCCCGCGGCCUAUCAGCUUGUUGGUGGGGUGAUGGCCUACCAAGGCGACGACGGGUAGUCGGCCUGAGAGGGCGACCGGCCACACUGUGACUGAGACACGGCCCAGACUCCUACGGG
RNAcentral lists this ribosomal RNA (226 nucleotides) under uncultured bacterium. Its description in RNAcentral is "partial 16S ribosomal RNA". It matches the Rfam family "Bacterial small subunit ribosomal RNA", at positions 118 to 345 of the family's 1533-position model. The record is from RNAcentral.